AGCAGCCGCGGUAAUUCCAGCUCCAGUAGCGUAUAUUAAAGUUGUUGCAGUUAAAAAGCUCGUAGUUGAAUUUCGGGGUUAGUAGGUCGGUCGUGCCACCGGUAUGUACUGGCUUCACUGAUCCCUCCUUCUUGUAGAACCGUAAUGCCAUUAACUUGGUGUUGCGGGGAAACAGGACUGUUACUUUGAAAAAAUUAGAGUGUUUAAAGCAGGCUAACGCUUGAAUACAUUAGCAUGGAAUAAUGAAAUAGGACGAUCGAUCCUAUUUUGUUGGUUUCUAGGAUUGACGUAAUGAUUAAUAGGGAUAGUUGGGGGCAUUAGUAUUCAAUUGUCAGAGGUGAAAUUCUUGGAUUUAUUGAAGACUAACUACUGCGAAAGCAUUUGCCAAGGAUGUUUUCAUUAAUCAAGAACGAAAGUUAGGGGAUCGAAGACGAUCAGAUACCGUCGUAGUCUUAACCAUAAACUAUGCCGACUAGGGAUCGGAUGAUGUUAAUUUUUAAUGACUCAUUCGGCGCCUUAC
This 520-nucleotide ribosomal RNA is filed under the name uncultured Glomus. RNAcentral describes it as "SSU rRNA". It matches the Rfam family "Eukaryotic small subunit ribosomal RNA", at positions 569 to 1091 of the family's 1831-position model. Lineage: Eukaryota; Fungi; Glomeromycota; Glomeromycetes; Glomerales; Glomeraceae. The record is from RNAcentral.